Molecule: ribosomal RNA, 462 nt
Filed under: uncultured bacterium
Lineage: Bacteria
Description: bacterial SSU rRNA
Rfam family: Bacterial small subunit ribosomal RNA
Source: RNAcentral
UAAGGAAUAUUGCGCAAUGGGCGACAGCCUGACGCAGCGACGCCGCGUGGGGGAUGAAGGUCUUCGGAUUGUAAACCCCUUUCGGCAGGGAAGAUGGAACGGGUAACCGUUCGGACGGUACCUGCAGAAGCAGCCACGGCUAACUUCGUGCCAGCAGCCGCGGUAAUACGAAGGUGGCAAGCGUUGUUCGGAUUUACUGGGCGUACAGGGAGCGUAGGCGGUUGGGUAAGCCCUCCGUGAAAUCUCCGGGCCUAACCCGGAAAGUGCGGAGGGGACUGCUCGGCUAGAGGAUGGGAGAGGAGCGCGGAAUUCCCGGUGUAGCGGUGAAAUGCGUAGAGAUCGGGAGGAAGGCCGGUGGCGAAGGCGGCGCUCUGGAACAUAUCUGACGCUGAGGCUCGAAAGCGUGGGGAGCAAACAGGAUUAGAUACCCCAGUAGUCCCUGAGCGGGCUGGCAAGGCGCAU